This 1658-nucleotide ribosomal RNA is filed under the name alkali sediment metagenome. RNAcentral's name for it is "bacterial LSU rRNA". It matches the Rfam family "Bacterial large subunit ribosomal RNA", at positions 329 to 1995 of the family's 2925-position model. The record is from RNAcentral.
CUAGUGGAACGGUCUGGAAAGUCCGGCCAUAGCGGGUGAUAGCCCCGUACACGAAAGAUCCGGAGUGGAACUGAGCGCACGAUAAGUAGGGCGGGACACGUGAAAUCCUGUCUGAAGAUGGGGGGACCAUCCUCCAAGGCUAAAUACUCAUGAUCGACCGAUAGUGAACCAGUACUGUGAAGGAAAGGCGAAAAGAACCCCGGGAGGGGAGUGAAAUAGAUCCUGAAACCGCAUGCAUACAAACAGUAGGAGCCCGCAAGGGUGACUGCGUACCUUUUGCAUAAUGGGUCAGCGACUUACAUUCUGUGGCGAGCUUAACCGGAUAGGGAAGGCGUAGCGAAAGCGAGUCCGAAUAGGGCGUCCAGUCGCAGGGUGUAGACCCGAAACCAGAUGAUCUAUCCAUGGCCAGGCUGAAGGUGGGGUAACACUCACUGGAGGGCCGAACCGACUACUGUUGCAAAAGUAGCGGAUGAGCUGUGGAUAGGGGUGAAAGGCCAAACAAAUCUGGAAAUAGCUGGUUCUCCCCGAAAACUAUUGAGGUAGUGCCUCGCGUAUCACUCCAGGGGGUAGAGCACUGUUAUGGCUAGGGGGGCAUGGCGCCUUACCAAACCAUGGCAAACUCCGAAUACUUGGAAGUGUCAGCGCGGGAGACAGUGCACCGGGUGCUAACGUCCGGACACGAAAGGGAAACAACCCAGACCGCCAGCUAAGGUCCCUAAUACCGACUAAGUGGGAAACGAAGUGGGAAGGCUAAGACAGUCAGGAAGUUGGCUUAGAAGCAGCCAUCCUUCAAAGAAAGCGUAAUAGCUCACUGAUCGAGUCUUCCUGCGCGGAAGAUGUAACGGGGCUAAGCCGGUAACCGAAGCUGCGGAUGUGCCGCAAGGCACGUGGUAGGGGAGCGUUCUGUAAGCCUGCGAAGGUGGCUCGAGAGGGCUGCUGGAGGUAUCAGAAGUGCGAAUGCUGACAUGAGUAGCGUUAAAGAGGGUGAAAAGCCCUCUCGCCGUAAGCCCAAGGUUUCCUGCUCUACGUUCAUCGGAGCAGGGUGAGUCGGCCCCUAAGAUGAGGGCGAAAGCCGUAGUCGAUGGGAAGCAGGUCAAUAUUCCUGCACCGAUUUCCAAUGCGAUGGGGGGACGGACUGUUGAAGAUCAUCCGGGUGUUGGAUGUCCCGGUUUCUGAUCGUAGGUGGCCAGUAGGCAAAUCCGCUGGCGUAUCACCGAGGAAAAGGAUCGAGUGGCGUAAGCCGCGAAGUGAUUGGAUGUGGUUCCAGGAAAAGCCUCUAAGCUUCAGUUGGAAACGACCGUACCGAAAACCGACACUGGUGGGCGAGCUGAAUAUGCUCAGGCGCUUGAGAGAACUCGGGAGAAGGAACUCGGCAAAUUGACACCGUAACUUCGGAAGAAGGUGUGCCUUGGUAGCGUGACGGGAGAAACGCCCGAAGCGUGAAGAGGUCUCAGAGAAUCGGUGGCUGCGACUGUUUAUUAAAAACACAGCACUCUGCAAAGACGAGAGUCGACGUAUAGGGUGUGAUGCCUGCCCGGUGCUGGAAGGUUAAUUGAUGGAGUGCAAGCUCUUGAUCGAAGCCCCAGUAAACGGCGGCCGUAACUAUAACGGUCCUAAGGUAGCGAAAUUCCUUGUCGGGUAAGUUCCGACCUGCACGA